Loxodonta africana (African savanna elephant) is the source of this 1015-nucleotide long non-coding RNA. RefSeq lists it as uncharacterized. The transcript is spliced from 2 exons. NCBI's taxonomy places the organism in Eukaryota, Metazoa, Chordata, Mammalia, Proboscidea, Elephantidae. The record is from RefSeq and is a predicted model, not a curated record.
ACAAAAUUUUUGGUUUUAUGUAAUAGUAGUGAAUAAAAAUUUGAAUAAAAAAACUCUUAAACACAACUUUAUUGUUUUGGUAGGGUUACAUUUUACUUUAACUAUUGAAAAUUUAGUGUCUGCAUUGAGAUUCACUGUACGUGUAAAAUACACAGCAGAUUUUAAAGACUGAGUACAAAAAAGAGUAGGAAAUAGCUCAUGUUGAGAUGAUAGUAUUUUGGACAUAUUGGGUUAAAUAAAACACAUUAUUGAAAUUAAUUUUUUUAACAUGGCUUUUAUAAACUUUAAGAUGGCAUAUGUGGUUCCCAUUAUAUUUCUAGCACUGGUCUGAACCCUCCACUCACCACAGCUCCCGGCAGCUGGGAGAAGAAGCUGGGCACACAAUUGGGUAAUUGUAAUGCCAUGAGGGCCUUUACACAAUGGAGGAGUCCCAAAACCAAAAAACUAAACACGUUGCCGUCAAGUUGAUUCUGACUCACAGUGACCCUAUAGCAACCUUACAGCGUCCCCAGGUGGGGUGUAAAUGGCUAACAUACCUGGCUGCUAACAGUUCAAGUUUACUCAGAGGCACUUCGGAAGAAAAGCUUGAUGAUCUAAAGCAGCCAUUCAAAACUCCAAGCUUGUGAGCAGCCGUCUAAGAUGCACCAAUUGGUCCCAUCCCACUUGGAGUAAAGGAGAAUGAAGAAAAGCAAAGAUGCAAGGGAAAUAUUAGCCCAAGGACAAAAGGACCACGUAAACCAGAGACUCCACCAGCCUGAGACCAGAAGAACUAGAUGGUGCCCAGCCACCACUGAUGACCGCCCUGACAGGGAACAUAACAGAGAGUCCCAGAUGGAGCAGGAGUGUGAACCAGAACUCAAAUUCACAGAAAAAGACCAGCCUUAAUGAUAUGACAGAGACUGAAGGAACCCCUGAAACUAUGGCCCCCUGAUGCUCUGUUAACUUAGAACUGAAACCAUUUCUGAAGCCACUCUUUAUACAAAGAUUAGACGGAACUAUAAAACAAAAAAUAAUA